AAUUAUCACACAAACGAUAAACUUUUUUGUGACAGUAAAAUUUAUAAAAUAACAAAUGAUUUAUCGAAGGACGAUUUGAAUUUUUAAAAAAGUAAUUUUAUAAAUAAACAUAUUUUUAAAUACUCAAUUUAUUUUGUUGUACUUCCAGGAUUUUUCGAGAAACAUGCGCUGUUAUGCCGCUUGUAUACAUGGAAAUAAAAAAUCAUUGAAGGUUUUUUUCUUUUUUUUAGAAUCAUCAUGACCUGGAUAAUUUAAAUUAUUAGAAAUAAUUACUGAUAUUUUUUUAAUUUUACCAUAAACUUUGCGUUCUAUUUACAGGAAAACAAAAUAUUUUAAUAUGACAGCUACUUUUUAUGUGAAAUUUUUUAAACAAAAAGAAAAAACUAUUUAACAUUUAAUUUAUAAAUAAAAUUUUGAAUUUUUUAAAUUUAUUAAACUGCAAUUUAAAUUAUUUAAAUAUUUAAACAUUUAGUACAGGAAUUUUUUUUAUCUACAAGGAGUAAAAAUAAAAUAAAAUUUUGAAUUUUUGACUGCUGGAAAAUGCUGACCUCUGCAGUGUGAAAACAAAAAUAACUUUUAGUUUAAAAUGGAGAGAAAAAUUUUUAUGUAAAAGUAAACGUUUUAAUUUUAUUGUUUAUUUAGUGAGAAAUAUAUUUACACUGUAAAUUAAUCUCGACAAACAAAAAAUAGAAAGAUGAAGAUCUCGGAGGAAGAAAAGAACGAAACUCUUCUCUUCACACGUGGCGCACCUGGAACACAGAUGCCCGCUUAUUUAAAUAUCAUAUCUAAGGGCAUUCAUACUCUAGUAUCACACGGCUUUGUGACAUCUAUAAGAUACAAGUUUUGAAGCUGUUUUUUGACCUAUUGAUAAGACACCAAAAUGUUGACAGCGAUCAGAAAUUUAUGUCACUGGAAAAAUAUCUGCUCAAAG
This is a long non-coding RNA of Microplitis mediator, 931 nucleotides long. RefSeq lists it as uncharacterized. The record is from RefSeq and is a predicted model, not a curated record. Lineage: Eukaryota; Metazoa; Arthropoda; Insecta; Hymenoptera; Braconidae. The transcript has 3 exons.